Long non-coding RNA from Hypanus sabinus (Atlantic stingray), 2581 nucleotides. RefSeq lists it as uncharacterized. Lineage: Eukaryota; Metazoa; Chordata; Chondrichthyes; Myliobatiformes; Dasyatidae. The transcript has 3 exons. The record is from RefSeq and is a predicted model, not a curated record.
CUCCCUUCCCCUUCUCUUACCCUCUCCUCUCCCCUCAUUUCCCUCUCUCUGUCCCCUCCUCCCUUCCCUUCUUCUUGCCUUCUCUCCCUCAUCUUCUUGCCUUUUCUCCCCUUCUCCUUGCCUUCUCCUUCCCCCUCUCCCCCUUUUCCCCUUCCUCCCCUCCAUCCCUAAAUUUCUCCCCAUCACUCCCCUCUUCCCCUCUCUCUCCCCCACUCUCCCUCCACUCUCUCUUUUUCUCUCCCCCUCCUCUCAUCCCCUCUCUCUCCCUCCCCUCUUUAAACUACUCCCUUAAUAAAGAGAGACAAUGAUGAUUAUUGGGUUGAACGGUUGUGCAGUGGUUAGCACAAUGCCUCACAGUACCACCAACCCUCCACUGUCUGUAAGACGGUUGUCCGUACUCCCCGUGGCUAUGUGGGUUUCCUCCGGGUGCUCCGGUUUCCUCUCAAAGAUGUUCCUGUUGGUAGGUUAAUCGGUUAUUGUAAAUUACCCCGUGAUUAGGCUCGGGUUAAUUGGGGAUUGCUGGUUGGGGCAGGUCGAAGGACCAGAAGGCCUAUUCCGCAUCGUACCUCUCGAUAAAUUCAAUCGCUUAUCUUUACUGUCAAAUGAAGCAGCGAAUGACUCCAUGUUCAGAAUGUUACAGGGUGCUCCCUCCUCACUCUCUGUAACCCUCAGCGUGACGUUCUCUCCUUACUACCUCAGUACCAUGACUCAAAACUGCCUCUGUCAAUCUUCUUGUAACCAUCCUCAUCAUGUGUGGGUGAGUUGGAGUCCGUUGGGCCGGCUGAAGAGAAUCCAAACCCAUGGGGUUUACCACCAGACCUGAAGCACCAACAGCCAUCAGUGAUGAAUAGCUCAGAGGAGAGCUGGUGCUCUUCCUUGUUCUGGGCAGCGGAUAUCGAUAGAAGUCUUUGUUGUUCUUUUGUUUCUCAGCUCAGGGACGGCUAUCCAAGGCGUCAGUCAUUUCAACGGCUUUGAAAGGGGCUCUGUUUCUUUUCACCUCAGUGGCUCUGAUCUGUUUCCUUAAGAACCGCAGGAAUACCAGGAAACCAACAGAAAAAGCAGAAAGGCCUGUGUCAGAGCAUUUGUAUGAAAUGGUCUUGAUGAGUCGCGGGGGAGUCAAGGUGGAAGAAUCAAUGAAAGCUCCACAAUAAUCCAGGUGAUCGUAUGUCUCCCAUUUCACAAUGCCGCCCUCUCCGUGAUGUCAGAACAACAAUCUUACACUCAGCCUCAGCAAGUCCAAGGAACUGACUGUGAACUUCAGGAAGGGGAAGUCGGGAGAACACACUCCAGUCCUCAUCCUGGGGUCAGCGGUGGAAAGGCUGAGCAGCUUCAAGUUCCUGGGCAUCAACAUCUCUGAGGAUCUGUUCUGGACCCAACAUGUUGAAGCAAUGAGGAAGGAGGUGACUACCGGCUCUAUUUCAUCCGGAGUCUGAGUACAUUACUCUGUGCAGCUACCCCAGGGGAGGGAUUGUGGAAGGAACUGUCAAUAUUUUGGGACUGACCGUGAAGGGGAGAGAGUAUUGAGGGUGAGUGGCAUGUUGGUGUAUUUGGUGGGAUGGUGGGAGAGGGUUUGGAUGAUAGGUGGAGUGAGCUGGAUAGGAGAGGGGGAGGCAAAUUCAAAGUCCGGAGGAAACUCAAGGAACACCACCUCAUAUUCUCCCCAUGCAUAUUCCAUCUACAGGUAACUCUAUCACCUUCCAAUCCCUCUCCCGUCCUAUUUUGUCCUCCUUCCCCUGACCCCCACAGCCUUCCUUCACCCAUCCACCCACCCGUUUCACUCCCUGACUCCGCUCCCUCCUCCCCAUCUAACACUGGUUCUGUUUGCCUUUCCCCUUCCCCCAAUGGUUCCCAUUAUCACCUUUAUUACUGAUCAGAUUCCAGCACCAGUGGAGAGAGUCUUGAAUGUUGCAGCUACUCUCAUGUUGUCUUGCAGAGAGUAUUCAAUUGCACUCCUGUGUCCGGUUGACAGUGGCUUUGGGAUCAGGAAGUGAGCGACUCACCACAGGGUAACAGUCCCUGACCAACCCCACCAUAUGUGGAUUGUCGAGAUGAGUGUCUGGUGAUCACCCCCAGAAUGUUCAGGGUAUGGUAAGUGAUGAUGACAUCGCCUUGAACAUCCUGAGGGGCGUUGAAUGUGGGGCCAUCACUGAUGCAAGGGGUAGCAGGUCAGACUCUCUCUGGUUGUAGGUGGUCAUUUCCUGGCAUCACUUUGGACAAAUGCCACUUGCCACCUGACAGUUUUGGGGAACACUCGGGUGCCAUCCCUGUCCCGAAUGGGGUUGAAUAUCUAGGAUGCUUGGAGCUCAACUCAUCUCUCUAUAGACCGAUGGGGUGAGUUCUAAUCCACCUUCAGAUUCUCCUGAAUGGGCCUUUUGUACAAAGAACAGAUCUCCGAAUGUUCCUCGCCAUGGCCCUUCACUUUAUUGUCUGCUUGCACUGCACUUUCUCAGCAGCUGUAGCAUUUAUUCUGCAUUCUGUAAUUGUUUUUUCUUUAAUACUACCUUGAUGUUCUGAUGUAUGGAAUGAUCUGAAUGGCUGGCAUGUAAACGAAGCUUUUCACUGUAUCCUUGUACAAUAAUAA